AUAAAAGUACGCCCUGGGGGAAGCGCAGAGAAGCCCCAAGGGACGGACCCAGCUUGACAGACUGUAUUUCCCUCUGACGGGCCACAGGUUUGUGAUUUCACACUUGGGCGGCACUUGCCUAACUUGCUGCGCUGCACCGCAGCUCUGAAUCUGACUCCAGGAUGCCAUUGGACUGGACAAACAAACAUGCAGACAUCAGCUCUGACUGUCCCCAGGACCUGUGCUUCGACAAGCUGAUCAAGCAGUGCCUCAGCUGCCAUCUGUAUGGGACCUCCAACGCAGACACAAGAGACCUCACCAGCAUGGCCCCCACGCCAACUCAGCUACCCCCACAUCCUUCAGGAAACAUGCCAAGCCCAGUUUUGGUCUUUGGCAUCCCUGUUCUCAUGGGGCUAGUCCUGGUAUUGGCAUCAGUUUGGGGAUUUAUUACCUGGAAAAUGAGAAGGAGGCGGAGGAAAAGGGAGAAACCAAACAAAGAAUCCAAGGGUAAGUGUCCCCUGUCUCUCCCUUGUCUCAUAUAUGUAUUCCCACACACAGACUCAGGGUCUGGAGAGGACCUUCAGGACCAUCUCUAGCCUGAUCUCCUACAUGACAGGCCCUAGAACCUCAACCAGUAGUAUCCUUGUCAAGACCAACCCUUUGCAGCUGAAUUAAGGGCUAUCACUGGACAGAUAUUCUGUCCUAAUUGACUAAAGACUCAGCAUGAAAGACAGUUUUUCACAUCCCCUGAAGUCUUUCCAAUGGUUCAUUACUGUCACUUAAAAUAUUGUGCCUUACUUGCAGCAUACACUCCGCUGACUUUUUCUUCAAACCACUGGAUUUUGUUAGGUCUUUGUCUUCUAGACAGAAAGAAGAUAUCUGAGACCCGUUUCCACCCUGGUUCUCUCACGGUGCACGUGGUCCAGAUUUAGUCCCUUUCCAGUGGCCGCUUUGGUUAACUUGGUUAACUUGUGCAAGAACAGGUUAUCUGGAUAACUUGAGAGGGUCCAGAGGAGGGCUACCUGUAUGGUUAAGGGCCUGCAGGUAAAAUCCUACAAGGAGAGAUUGGGACCUGAAUUUCUUCAGUCUCAGCAAAAGAAGGCUGAGAGGAGAUCUUGUGGCCAUCUACAAAUUCAUCGGGGGGCGGCAAGGAAUAGGGGGCACUCUGUUCACCAGGACACCCCUUGGGGUUACUAAGAACAAUGGCCAUAAACUGACAGGGAGUAGAUAUAGUUUAGACAUUACAAAAAAUUUCUUUACAGGGAGGGUUGUCAAAAUCUGGAAUGGGCUUCUGAGGGAGGUGGUGCUCUCCCCUACCCUGGAGGUCUUUAAGAGGUCAUAGGCUUAGCUGGGGUCAUCUGACCCCAGUGCUCUUUCCUGCCUAGGGCAGGGGUUGGACUCAGUGAUCUACUAAGGUCCCUUCUGACCCUAAAAAUCUAUGAAAUUUAUGAUGCUGGAGGGUUCUUUACUCUAGAACAGCAGUUCCCGAACUCUGGCAGAUUGUGCACCACCAAUUUAAAAUGAUACAACCUUAAGUGCCACCAGCAAAUUUUUGUCAUCUAAAGUCAUUAUACUAAAUCUGUUAAUGCGUACCACUGACAGGCUGUCUGUGUACCACUAGUGGCACGUGUACCACAGAUUGGGAACCGCUGCUCUAGAACCCUCCACCAUCUGAUAACUUCUUCCUGCCUAGUUGCUUGUAGGCAGUGGUUAAAUUACCUCUUAACCUUCUCCUCCAUAAACUACUGUGAAUAAUUGGGCUCCAUUCAUAAGGUGAUAAGAUCUUCCAGGACUCUGGGUGAGAUAAGUCAAGGCAAAAUACUAUUCCAGCUUUCUUCUGUCAGAUCUGCCAAUUUGAGGCAGAAGUUUUAAAGCUUUUGUUCAAAAAGUAAGAGUGAUAUUUCCAAAGCAGGUUCAACCCAGAUGAAAUUUUGUGGGCACAAACGUUGUCCAACUCCUAUAUUCCGUACUUUUAUCUGUAUUCACAGAGUAACGAGUUCUCUUACUUGUUACACAGGCUGCUCCAUGGAAAUGCAGUAGGGUUCUGUAGGAAAUGUGGAAAUACUCUAGAAACUGACAGACUUGAACAGAGAAGGAGAUCUUUUAUACACAGUCUCGUGAAACGCCUUACAAAACUUGGUUGCAGAGUUAUUAAUUGCUAUUUGAUUCUACAAAAUGACUCAUAACUCCAUAGAAAAGUUGUCGUUUUUGCCAACGCGUGUUCAUGUUCUCAAAGCUGCACUGGUGCAAAUGGAUGUCAGGAUUUGAAAAUCUGGCCUGAGUUUUUGCACUUUUUCUCUGUAGAGAAAAAUUUCUGAAUGUGUUCAGUGCAGCAAAAUGGACCUGGGUCUGCAAAUAAAAAAAACAAAUAGUUUACA
Long non-coding RNA from Crocodylus porosus (Australian saltwater crocodile), 2357 nucleotides. NCBI's taxonomy places the organism in Eukaryota, Metazoa, Chordata, Crocodylia, Crocodylidae. The record is from Ensembl.